This 425-nucleotide ribosomal RNA is filed under the name uncultured bacterium. RNAcentral describes it as "partial 16S ribosomal RNA". It matches the Rfam family "Bacterial small subunit ribosomal RNA", at positions 354 to 796 of the family's 1533-position model. The record is from RNAcentral.
GUGGGGAAUCUUGCGCAAUGGGCGAAAGCCUGACGCAGCCAUGCCGCGUGAAUGAUGAAGGUCUUAGGAUUGUAUAAUUCUUUCACCGGGGACGAUAAUGACGGUACCCGGAGAAGAAGCCCCGGCUAACUUCGUGCCAGCAGCCGCGGUAAUACGAAGGGGGCUAGCGUUGCUCAGAAUUACUGGGCGUAAAGGGCGCGUAGGCGGACAGUUUAGUCAGAGGUGAAAGCCCAGGGCUCAACCUUGGAAUUGCCUUUGAUACUGGCUGUCUUGAGUACGGGAGAGGUGAGUGGAACUCCGAGUGUAGAGGUGAAAUUCGUAGAUAUUCGGAAGAACACCAGUGGCGAAGGCGACUCACUGGCCCGUUACUGACGCUGAGGCGCGAAAGCGUGGGGAGCAAACAGGAUUAGAUACCCCAGUAGUCC